UCCAUUUGCACUGUAGUCGAGCAAGGGCUUCCCGUACCUGCAGAGCUUGAUGACGGACCCUUGAUGCCGAACAUUGAGGAAGACUAUAUCGAGUCAGGUGUGUCUUUGCCUAUACCUAUGUUGAGGGGCAUGUGGUUGCCCAACUGCGGGAUAUCAUCUUUGGGGAAACAUCCCACCCAUCUGAAAUGGAAGCUUGCAUCCACUCUCAUUGUUUUCCGGGAACUAUGCAGGAUCAGAUCCGAUACCUGUUCCUGGAUCUUGGCGUGAAAGAUGUGAUAGUGGGAAGUUGGCAGUUGUCAAAGGCAACAAAGUCCCCAAACGUGGAGACAUUGUUCUUGGUGCUCAUCUUGUCACUUGCCAGGAUUUCAAAUGGGGCAGAUACGGAGACCAUGAUUGGUGUCCAGCAAUAACCCGAGUAUAUGAUUAUGCGCGCGGACGACAGCUGAAGGAAGUGUUCGGUGCUUCUGCCAUCUGUUACUCUUGAUUCACCCUCGUACAAUACACGCUCUGCAUUGAAUAACAACUGUUUUGUAUGUCCUGUCUCGACUUGAAGGGUGCAUACGAUCGGGUCAACACGGAAUUUGCUGUGGGAAGCCUUGCGGCACCUUGUGAUUGUCGGCCGCAUGCUUGCUACUCUCUAGUCUCUGUAUGCCGACUGCACUCUUGCCAUGAAGAUUGUUGAUUGGGUUGGCCGCUGCCUGCCCUCUUUGACUGGCUUGAGCGGGAUUGCCGCUGAGUCCUAUAGGACAGCUAGAGUAACUACACAGUUUGAGAUGUUCUCUGAUGAGCUGCACAAGCAUCAAGGGUUUAAGGUCUGCUAAUCCUACAUGUGCAGUGGUGCAAAGGCAUUGGCGGUUGCUUGCUCGGUGGUACAUAUGUAGAGCAUAUAUGGGAAGUUAGUCGAAACAUGGGCCG
This 915-nucleotide long non-coding RNA is filed under the name Coccomyxa subellipsoidea. RNAcentral describes it as "long non-coding RNA (CSUB_LNC000359)". Lineage: Eukaryota; Viridiplantae; Chlorophyta; Trebouxiophyceae; Coccomyxaceae. The record is from RNAcentral.